RNAcentral lists this ribosomal RNA (430 nucleotides) under Pseudomonadota bacterium. RNAcentral describes it as "Proteobacteria bacterium partial 16S ribosomal RNA". It matches the Rfam family "Bacterial small subunit ribosomal RNA", at positions 355 to 776 of the family's 1533-position model. The record is from RNAcentral. Lineage: Bacteria; Pseudomonadati; Pseudomonadota.
UGGGGAAUAUUGGACAAUGGGGGGAACCCUGAUCCAGCCAUGCCGCGUGUGUGAAGAAGGCCUUAUGGUUGUAAAGCACUUUAAGCGAGGAGGAGGGUACUGGUAUUAAUACUACCAGGUACUGGACGUUACUCGCAGAAUAAGCACCGGCUAACCCUGCGCCAGCAGCCGCGGUAAUACAGAGGGUGCGAGCGUUAAUCGGAUUUACUGGGCGUAAAGCGUGCGUAGGCGGCUAAUUGAGUCGGAUGUGAAAUCCCCGAGCUUAACUUGGGAAUUGCAUUCGAUACUGGUUAGCUAGAGUGUGGGAGAGGAUGGUAGAAGUCCAGGUGUGGCGGUGAAAUGCGUAGAGAUCUGGAGGAAUACCGAUGGUGAAGGCAGCCAUCUGGACUAACACUGACGCUGAGGUACGAAAGCAUGGGGAGCAAACAGG